CGUCGCUGCCGUGAUCGUGGUC
RNAcentral lists this small RNA (22 nucleotides) under Arabidopsis thaliana (thale cress). RNAcentral's name for it is "Ath_wt_19790". The record is from RNAcentral. Lineage: Eukaryota; Viridiplantae; Streptophyta; Magnoliopsida; Brassicales; Brassicaceae.